UCCAGUGCUUCCACAUUCAAUUCAAAUCUAAAUUUCUAGUUGUUUCCAUGAAAAAUCCUGAUUAUCCUGCAGUUCAAUAGUGCUAGUUCCAUUUUGUAAUUCAUAAUACCAUAAACAGACACACAAUUUUUUUUUUAAUUCAAACCGUGAAGAAAUCCCCUACGCUCCCCUACAGAUUACCCUUUCUCCCCGUAGGUAUUCCCCACUCCCUACAAGAUGUCAUAAUCCCCCACUGUAGGGGAAUCCCCCUACGAGUGGCAGCCUUGCAUACAGAUCGAAUUACUACAACACGUGAUAUAUUCUAAGCAUGUUAAUUGGUUGAAAGUUUGGAAUUUCCACUUGUUGAAAAUUAUAUUCAGCAAGCAAAACAUUCCACAAGUUCAAAUUACAGAAUCUCUGAC
Molecule: non-coding RNA, 401 nt
Organism: Paramuricea clavata
Lineage: Eukaryota; Metazoa; Cnidaria; Anthozoa; Malacalcyonacea; Plexauridae
Source: the annotation of a GenBank genome assembly